UGUGUGUUCACUAUAGAAUACCUUGCAGACUCAUGGACCCCCUGGAACUGCAGACCCAACUCGAGGAUGCCUGGACACGGAUCACCCAACUUACCAACCUGUCGGUCAGAUGCAGUAUGGCUUCCUUCUGGUGCUGAAAACACCUGAACGGCCGAGUACCUGGCCAUCGUGAGACACGGUUGCUGUACAAGUGAAGGGAGAUACGGUCUCUAACUCGGUGACUCCAAAAAAAAAAAAAAGCAAGAGCCCGGAAAAUUGACAACAAAAAACAUGAUUAUGAAAAUCUUUGGAAACUUCUAUGAGGUUUUAUAUGAAUUACCAAAAGAUUUCAAAGUACCAUGAGUAUGAAGCUGCACUUGAAUCAAGUGGGAAAAUGUGUCCUCUGCAUUUGACCCUAACUAUGGAGCAUGUGAUAGCUAUGCCAGCCAGGGGACAGACUCCAAUUCUGAGGCCAGAGCCCUGAUCGUCUGAACCCGAGCACAUGCAGGUUGGCCGAGUGCCUCUCACCCUGGCGGAGCAAUCCCAUAAACUCCAGCAAUGUCUCUGCCUGUACUGUGGGGCUGCAGGGCACUUCAACCAAGCCUGCCCCGUGCACCUGGAGCAGAUGCUGCCUGAAGCCGUCCAGGUAAGGGCAUUCUCGCCUGCUCUCAUCUCCAAAAAUCUGAUGGUUGUUCUGAUUAUUUUGCAGUGGGCCAUGAGCCUGGUGAAGGAAUGCGUCCUCAGUGGAGAGUCUGCAACCUGAAGAUAUGUUAAUCAUCCCGCCACAGUAUCAGGAGUUCCGAGAUGUGGUCAGCAAAGCCCUCUUCUUCAGGUUGCCCCAACAUCACCAUUCGGACUGCGUCAUAGAGCUUGUGGAAGGAGCUGCUCUUCCCAAAGGACGUCUUUGCUCCCUGUUGUGCCCUAAAGAAGAGGCCAUGUGGAAGUAUGUGCACGAAUCCUUACAACCAGCUAUUAUACAAUACUCUACUUCCCCCGUGGUGUCUGGGGUCUUUUUUGUGAAGAACAAGGAUGGAGGGCUUCGCUAACGGGCGCUAUAUGCAAUUACAAAGAAGUGCCGCUUCCCUUAAAUCCAUCUGCAUUGGAGCAUUGCGGACUGCUCAGAUCUUCACUAAAUCAGAUCUACGGAGUGCGUCUGGAUUAAAGCAGGGGACGAGUGGAAGAUGUUUUACAUUACCACCACUGGUCAAUACGAGUACCUUUUGUUGCUGUACGGAUUAGCUCGUAGCCCCUCCAUUUUCAAUCUUUCAAGUCCUAAACGACGUUAUACCAGUUGUUAUGCAUUUCUCGACACGUUCUCAUGAAUUGAUAGGCUAUGUAUCCAAGUGUAAUUUUUUCCCCCUCUGCGUUUAACACACUGCAAGCUUUUUAACAUUCUUUUUUUUUUUUUAUUAAACAUUUAGCUGACAGU
This is a long non-coding RNA of Paramormyrops kingsleyae, 1408 nucleotides long. RefSeq lists it as uncharacterized. NCBI's taxonomy places the organism in Eukaryota, Metazoa, Chordata, Actinopteri, Osteoglossiformes, Mormyridae. The record is from RefSeq and is a predicted model, not a curated record.